RNAcentral lists this non-coding RNA (132 nucleotides) under unclassified sequences. Its description in RNAcentral is "Bacteriophage Diversity-Generating Retroelement RNA". It matches the Rfam family "Bacteriophage Diversity-Generating Retroelement RNA". The record is from Rfam by way of RNAcentral.
ACCCGGCGCUGCUACGGCGUCGUCGGGCGACCGUCAGUUUUGUGGUCAGCCCCGCCCGGCCGGCUUCGGCAAAUACGUUACGAGGUUCGGAGAGCGGCGAGUACGGCGGCAACGCCCGAAAGCCGCGCCGAC